This 429-nucleotide ribosomal RNA is filed under the name Chloroflexota bacterium. Its description in RNAcentral is "Chloroflexi bacterium partial 16S ribosomal RNA". It matches the Rfam family "Bacterial small subunit ribosomal RNA", at positions 355 to 776 of the family's 1533-position model. Lineage: Bacteria; Bacillati; Chloroflexota. The record is from RNAcentral.
UGGGGAAUAUUGCACAAUGGGCGCAAGCCUGAUGCAGCCAUGCCGCGUGUGUGAAGAAGGCCUUCGGGUUGUAAAGCACUUUCAGCGGGGAGGAAGGCGAUAAGGUUAAUAACCUCAUCGAUUGACGUUACCCGCAGAAGAAGCACCGGCUAACUCCGUGCCAGCAGCCGCGGUAAUACGGAGGGUGCAAGCGUUAAUCGGAAUUACUGGGCGUAAAGCGCACGCAGGCGGUCUGUCAAGUCGGAUGUGAAAUCCCCGGGCUCAACCUGGGAACUGCAUUAGAAACUGGCAGGCUAGAGUCUUGUAGAGGAGGGUAGAAUUCCAGGUGUAGCGGUGAAAUGCGUAGAGAUCUGGAGGAAUACCGGUGGCGAAGGCGGCCCCCUGGACAAAGACUGACGCUCAGGUGCGAAAGCGUGGGGAGCAAACAGG